CUACCUAUAAGACUGAGGAUAACUUCGGGAAACCGGAGCUAAUACCGGAUAAUAUUUUGAACCGCAUGGUUCAAAAGUGAAAGACGGUCUUGCUGUCACUUAUAGAUGGAUCCGCGCUGCAUUAGCUAGUUGGUAAGGUAACGGCUUACCAAGGCAACGAUGCAUAGCCGACCUGAGAGGGUGAUCGGCCACACUGGAACUGAGACACGGUCCAG
Molecule: ribosomal RNA, 215 nt
Filed under: uncultured Staphylococcus sp.
Lineage: Bacteria; Bacillati; Bacillota; Bacilli; Caryophanales; Staphylococcaceae
Description: partial 16S ribosomal RNA
Rfam family: Bacterial small subunit ribosomal RNA
Source: RNAcentral